UCUGACAGCGGCCGUUACUGUCGGCCUC
RNAcentral lists this small RNA (28 nucleotides) under Bombyx mori (domestic silkworm). RNAcentral describes it as "ovarian small RNA-29925". Lineage: Eukaryota; Metazoa; Arthropoda; Insecta; Lepidoptera; Bombycidae. The record is from RNAcentral.